GGGGCUGACCGGUUUAGACAGCGGGUAGAAGUGGUUUGUAAGCAUGUAGUGCGUAGUUGGCUUGCACUUAAAUCUCAGACAACGAACAAUUAACUGGCGAAAACAAUUACGCUUACGCUGCUUGAUCGAAGUAUAGUAGAUACAUAGCUUAAUCCCUGCAACAGUUGUGGGGACGUAACGUCACCCAGAUGCUGUGGCUUCGAAGCGGUCUGAAUAGGUGGCGCAGCCAUAUCGGAGAUAGUUUAAAGUAGGCCUCGGCCUUUAAGCGAAACAAAGAGGAUAAGGUUAGGGUUGGUAGCUUCGGUCUUGCCCUCUCCCGACAAACAAAGCGAAGAUAAACAUGUAGAAAGCAAAUUAAUUCCUCGUUUGGACGAGAGUUCGAAUCUCUCCAGCUCCACAG
Molecule: transfer-messenger RNA, 400 nt
Filed under: Tannerellaceae bacterium
Lineage: Bacteria; Pseudomonadati; Bacteroidota; Bacteroidia; Bacteroidales; Tannerellaceae
Rfam family: transfer-messenger RNA
About the family: Bacterial tmRNA, also known as 10Sa RNA or SsrA, is named for its dual tRNA and mRNA-like properties.
Source: RNAcentral